UGUUAUAUGUUGCCGAGUUGGUCUAAGGCACCAGAUUAUGGCUUUGGUCUCUCCAGAGGUGUGGGUUUGAAUCCCACUCUGCUCA
Molecule: non-coding RNA, 85 nt
Organism: Zopfochytrium polystomum
Lineage: Eukaryota; Fungi; Chytridiomycota; Chytridiomycetes; Chytridiales; Chytridiaceae
Source: the annotation of a GenBank genome assembly